RNAcentral lists this non-coding RNA (24 nucleotides) under Arabidopsis thaliana (thale cress). The record is from RNAcentral. Lineage: Eukaryota; Viridiplantae; Streptophyta; Magnoliopsida; Brassicales; Brassicaceae.
UCCACGAGGAUGUAGAUCAUUAGA